GAAUUCGGCUUCGGUAAUUCCAGCUCCAAUAGCGUAUAUUAAAGUUGUUGCAGUUAAAAAGCUCGUAGUUGAAUUUCUGAUAGAAGGGAGCGGUUCCGCAUUCUUGCGGAUACUGGCUCGUCUUCCGUCAUCCUUGGGCUUAGUCUCGCUGAUAUUAACUUAUCGGCGUGUACGAUGCCCAUCGUUUACUGUGAGCAAAUUAGAGUGUUCAAAGCAGGCAUUUUGCCAUUGAAUAUAUUAGCAUGGAAUAAUAAGAUAGGAUUUCACGAUUUUAUUUUGUUGGUUUGCGUUGUGAAAUAAUGAUUAAGAGGGACAGUUGUGGGUAUUCGUAUUCAGAUGUCAGAGGUGAAAUUCUUAGAUUAUCGGAAGACGAACGACUGCGAAAGCAUUUACCAAGGAUGUUUUCAUUAAUCAAGAACGAAAGUAUGGGGAUCGAAGAUGAUUAGAUACCAUCGUAGUCUAUACCAUAAACUAUGCCGACUCAGGAUCGGCGGGUCAAUUUUUUUUGCUCGUCGGCACUGUAUGAGAAAUCAAAGUCUUUGGGUUCCGGGGGGAGUAUGGUCGCAAGGCUGGAACUUAAAGAAAUUGACGGAAGGGCACCACCAGGAGUGGAACCUGCGGCUUAAUUUGACUCAACACGGGGAAACUUAUCAGGUCCAGACAUAAUGAGGAUUGACAGAUUGAGAGCUCUUUCUUGAUUUUAUGGGUGGUGGUGCAUGGCCGUUCUUAGUUGGUGGAGUGAUUUGUCUGGUUAAUUCCGUUAACGAACGAGACCCCAGCCUGCUAAAUAAUCACGCGAAUGAUUCUUCAUUGGCGAUGGUUUCUUAGAGGGACAUGUUCGAACAACGAACAGGAGGAUUGGGGCAAUAACAGGUCUGUGAUGCCCUUAGAUGUUCUGAACCGCACGCGUGUUACACUGAUGCAUUCAACGAGCUAUUAACCUUGGCCGAGAGGCCUGGGAAAUCUUGGAACGUGCAUCGUGAUAGGGAUUGAUUAUUGCAAUUUUUAAUCAUGAACGAGGAAUUCCUAGUAAACGCAGAUCAUCAAUCUGCAUUGAUUACGUCCCUGCCCUUUGUACACACCGCCCGUCGCACCUACCGAUUGAGUGACUCGAUGAAGGCUCGGGAUUGUGGUUAUUGCUUUCAUUAGGAAUUGCUGCGAGAACUUGUCUGAAUCUCGCCACUUAGAGGAAGGUGAAGUCGUAACAAGGUAAGCCGAAUUC
Molecule: ribosomal RNA, 1222 nt
Filed under: uncultured eukaryote
Lineage: Eukaryota
Description: SSU rRNA
Rfam family: Eukaryotic small subunit ribosomal RNA
Source: RNAcentral